RNAcentral lists this ribosomal RNA (253 nucleotides) under uncultured bacterium. RNAcentral's name for it is "partial 16S ribosomal RNA". It matches the Rfam family "Bacterial small subunit ribosomal RNA", at positions 524 to 776 of the family's 1533-position model. The record is from RNAcentral.
UACGAAGGGGGCUAGCGUUGCUCGGAAUCACUGGGCGUAAAGCGCACGUAGGCGGCUUUUUAAGUCAGGGGUGAAAUCCUGGAGCUCAACUCCAGAACUGCCUUUGAUACUGGGAAUCUCGAGUCCGGAAGAGGUGAGUGGAACUGCGAGUGUAGAGGUGAAAUUCGUAGAUAUUCGCAAGAACACCAGUGGCGAAGGCGGCUCGCUGGUCCGGUACUGACGCUGAGGUGCGAAAGCGUGGGGAGCAAACAGG